This 274-nucleotide ribosomal RNA is filed under the name uncultured bacterium. RNAcentral's name for it is "partial 16S ribosomal RNA". It matches the Rfam family "Bacterial small subunit ribosomal RNA", at positions 523 to 796 of the family's 1533-position model. The record is from RNAcentral.
AUACGGGGGGUGCAAGCGUUAAUCGGAAUUACUGGGCGUAAAGCGCGCGUAGGCGGUUAAAUAAGUUGGAUGUGAAAUCCCCGGGCUCAACCUGGGAACUGCAUUCAAAACUGUUUAACUAGAGUAUGAUAGAGGGAAGUGGAAUUCCAGGUGUAGCGGUGAAAUGCGUAGAUAUCUGGAGGAACAUCAGUGGCGAAGGCGACUUCCUGGAUCAAUACUGACGCUGAGGUGCGAAAGCGUGGGGAGCAAACAGAAGUAGAAACCCCGGUAGUCC